GCGCGCUCAAAGUUGCCGGCGGCUGCGAUGACCCAUGUACCAUCUUCAACACUCCUCAGUACUGCUGCCCUUCCGGCUCCAGCUGCGAGCCAACCACCUAUUCCGAGUUCUAUAAGGGCCUGUGCCCGAAUGCGUUUAGCUACCCGGAUGAUUAUGUCAACACCAGCUUCACCUGCCCCGGUGGGAGCAACUACCAGGUUACCUUCUGCCCUUGAGGCUUUGAGAGCAUGGUCAUCCAUGCAUGACGCUGUUUCGAGUAUGUGAUAGCUUUGGAAUAAGGUGUUUGUAACCAAAUUUACGAGCCAUUAAACUGGCCUGUGAUGCGUGCAGCAUUAUUGGAAUUAUAGAAAUAAUUGUUUACUGUUAGUAAAUGCACUCUCCAUCUUCAAUAUCUUAUGGAUGACUACAAAAAUAAGAAAAUGGUAUAGCAAGUUGCUCUAUUCGGCAAUACAUCUCCUCUCCAGUAUGGCGCUAGCGUAAUAUCUGGUAAAUGGACCAAUUCCAGCGAUCACUGGCCCCAUCAGUUGCACCAUCCCCUUUUGCCCUGUGGAACAAGAAAUCCUGGAGUUAAUGCCUAGAAGUUGAUCUAACAAAGUGAAUCACCACAAAAUUCUUUCACCGGUCAACUGCUGGUGUAUUAUAAGUAGUUAUACGAACUGAGAGAAACUAUUUGGAAAGUUCGGAAGAUAAUGUCUUUUAAUUUUUGAGUGAGAGACUUGGGCCGAGCGUAGUCCAAUAUACUAAAAUAAAACAGAGUGCAAACGGUGACAUUUCUGAUUUCACCACCCCCGGGCCUCUUGAUUCUUACUAAGGCAGAAUUCAUUCAUGAUAUCUUUUAAUGAUUGUCAAAACUCACAUAUGCAAGUAAUUAAUAUUUUAAUAGAUCCUUAUUGAAUUUGAUUUAACUCUAAGACAGAAUUUCCCAACAUGCUGAAUGGAACCUCGGGGCAUAAUAGCGAUGGGAUUGGGAGGUAAUAAAAAACAAUACAAUUAAAACACAACAGAAUCAACAACUCUCCCACCUCAUGUAAACCUGUUAGGAAAUAAAUAAUGCUGCAACAAUAGAGCAAUAAAAACGUUGGAUAAUUGUUUACUGUUAGUAAAUGCGCUCCUCCAUGUUCGGUAUCGUAUGGAUGACUAAUUACAGAGGGAAAAGACGAGAAUACUAUGGCAAGUUGCACUAUCUAUUCGGCAAUCCAUUUCCUAUCAGAUAUGGCACUAUCUAAACGUCUAGGAAAUGGCCCAAGUCCAACGAUCACUGACCCCAUCAAUCGCACCAUCCCCCUUUGACAUGUUGGAUAAGAAAUACAGGAGCAAAACGCAUCGAAGCUGAUCUUGCAAAUUGAAUCACUCCAAAAUACUUUCAUUAAUCUAUUGCUGUUCCAAUAUUAAUUAUUUACAUGAACUAAGAGAAACUAUUGGGAAACUCUAGAGAAGAUACAUCCAUGUAUUUUUUUUAUUUUAUGACCGAAAGACUUGGGUUGAGUCUAAUCCAAUUUAUUAAAUUAAAAUAAAGUACAAACGGUUNNNNNNNNNNNNNNNNNNNNNNNNNNNNNNNNNNNNNNNNNNNNNNNNNNNNNNNNNNNNNNNNNNNNNNNNNNNNNNNNNNNNNNNNNNNNNNNNNNNNNNNNNNNNNNNNNNNNNNNNNNNNNNNNNNNNNNAUAUAUAUAUAUAUAUAUAUAUAUAUAUAUAUAUAAACAUCUUCCGUGUGUUACCUUCUAUCAUAUAUGGAACGUCGGGUCCCUGUUGCUUACAAACAGGUGCUCUGGCCAAGCCGAAUAAUAUUGGAUUUAGUAUCCUCUGUACAGGAUUAUUAAGUUGGUCACGAGGAAAAAUUUCAUCGUGCAUCAAGAUUUUGGAUAACCUUCGCAACAAAGUAUGCUCCAUUUGACGAUUAGAUUGCACUAAUCCCAGAAGCCCAUGGAGGAAGUUUCUCAGAACUUGAAUUCUCUGUAAGUCAAGUUGCAAUAGCUCACGUACUUAAAUCAGUUGAAGUAUGAAAGUGGAAUUGGUGUUGUGUGGGAGGAUGCAGAGAAGCAUAUAAGACGGUCAGUUUGGUGUUUCCAGAUAAUUUCCACGGACGUAGCGGUGGUUUUCCACUUCUACCAGCUAUUUCUCAGCAGACCUUUCGGGACUUCCAUCGAAGGACACUGUCAAGUUAGGCAAAUGGAUAACUUUCAAGGUUGUCUGCAUCAGCAGUCCAAACACUUGGAAGACGCAAGUAGGGAUGUUCACACGGAUGAUUUUUCUUAGCUCAUAAUUACCAUGCGCCUUACACGCAUCCAAAAUUUAUUUCUACAUGGUGAAGAUAUGUACAUGUUCUGAAAAUGGAUACAAGUGUGUCAGGUUGGAUUAGGAUUUGGCUUAGUCUGGAAAUGCAUAUAUUAAUUGUUGGAGUUUUAAUUUAUGAAAAGAUUUAAAUUUUAAAAAUAAAAAAUCAAUCUUAUUUCAUAUUUAUCAGUUGCUUCAAAAGUUUUAAAACUUUUUGUAUUUUUAGUCUAGCAUCAGAUUUGUGAAAGCAAGAAUGAAAAUCCUGUAUCCUUGGUUGACAACCGUGCGCCAUACUCACUGAACCUGCAUCCUCGGUGUUUUUUUGGCCUGCACCUCUUUUGAUGCAUCAAUCUUUUAAUCUUAGCUGAUCUAGAUGUGAUGUAACACAUCCCAUCAGGUGACGAUUACAAAGGUGAUAGGAUGUACCUUGAAGAAUCUGAUAGAGGCAAGAUUUAAACUUAUCCAAUGGAUAGAAACCAUGGAGGCUCUAGUGAAGGUAAGAUCAAUCACCGUGCUUGCCUAGCAGUCCAUUGAUAAAGUAGAUAUGACUGAGCAGGUUGCUCCCUAGCAUAUAGAUUUGGCAUGACUACAUAUGAAGAUGACGUGAUGGUAUCCUCGAAAGUAGUUGCCCCCUGCCCUCGAAAUAAGAGUAGGCUACAUUGCAAGCUGGUUGAACUGUUGUUCUUCAUCCACUAGUACUUAAAAAUAUCUAACUUUGGCAAAAGUGACUGGAGUCAACAUGAUUCCAUCGACUUCUCUCUUAGCUACCAUUUGCAAAAAUCAAGUUAGUUGAGGCCCAUCUCGGGCUUGUAUAUUGGCCUAAUAUUGACCAAAGCCUUAUUGACUGUCUAUUUGAUAUGAUUUGCUCUUGCAUUAACCUGCAGGACCUCCUUGUCUCAGCCUAUAGAUUCCAAAAGCUCCAUAAGAAAAUUUUCGGGCUCUUCCCCCUGAUGAGCCUAACUCGGAUUCUUCAUAUACUACAAUACUUCCCAGUAAAAUGGACUCAUCUUCCAUGAAGAUAGGAUCGAUUUCUUCUUCUACAGGAUAUACUAGAAUGUACUGUGAUUUGGUGCAUCAGCUUCCUUCUUUUUCAGAGCGAGACUCCCCAGGAAAGGUCAUGUUUAAUUAGUUCAAAGUAAGCAUGGAAACAGAUCUUUCAAUCCAUUCCACUAUCGAAGCCGAAGAUGCUGCAUAACGAUCCAAAAGUGGUCUUAGUAUAGAGGCCGCUUUCUAUGCCGUUGCUUCCUUAACUUCCUUCCAUAGUGGUAUAGUGGCAAUUACAUGAUUAUGUCACUAGAACUAAUAUGACAAUGACUACGUAUGGCUUCACUAAUACUAGGGUUCCACUAAUACAUAGGGUUACACAAUUAAGUCGGACCCAUCUUGGAUUCUAAGAACGACAAUGAUGACUCGAUUGCACUAGGUCCUCCUGAUUUUCCAUUGCAUAAGUCUAAUGUGGCGGUUGUUGCAGCUACGGUUGUUGCUGCUGUUGGUUAGUGACCAUCUACUAUAAAUUCUAGGGCGGCGGCGGUCAGCGAUUGAACCUGCUGCAUGAGCAGACUAAACUAUUCACUGGUGGUCGACGGGUCAGGCUGUGGCUCUUGCUGGGGAGCCCUCCGAGAGCUCUAUAAAAAGCCAUUAGACUCCAUGACUGCAUCCUAUUGGGCAAUUGCAGUCGCUACCUAGGUUUUCUUAACUUCAUAGCUGUGUGUCGUCCACUUGAUCGAUCAGACCUCCAAAGAUAGAAUCAUAACCCUUCCACUAGCCCCAAUCUAUUGCCGCUAGGAACUAGUCCAACCUAGGCACUGAGUUGGUGGGGAUCGCAAAGAUCUCAGCUCGUUUGUCGUCCAGAUCAGAGAAAUCAGAUGAGAUCGUUGCAUGUCUCCACGGUAAUGUUCCAGUGGUUGUUGCACUCGAUCAAUGGUGAUCCCGAUGUCGAACACUCACGAGUCGGUAUUGUAUGAUGGAGGAACGGCUUCAUGCGAUGCUCUGACGUAGGCUCCAACCUGAAACGGUAAAAAUAAAGAAGUCCACACACUGGAGCAUAUUCGAUGGGGAUCCUUCGAUGCCCAAGUCAGACACAACUCAAAAAGAAUGGGAGGAGGCCUGAGAUGGGAGAGAGGAAGCACAAGAGAGUCGAAAGAGAGCUUGUACGGAGGGUCUUCAUAAAUGCAAUACAUAGAUAAGGAUCGAAGCCCGCCGCCAAGUAAUUUGGAGCUAUAUAUAUGCUAGUUGAUGAGGCAAUAAGUUUUUAUUGGUUAGUUUGUUUCAUCAGCAUGGAUCAAUUCGGAGAUAAAUGAUCCUAAAUAGGUUGGUUUUGAAUGAAAAUAAAUUUUUGCCUAGAUUUCUUUUCCAGGCUAUGAAAAUCCAUGAGGAUCGUAGAGUCUGUCCCUGGCCUUUCAGGGAAAGGGUCCAUCCAAAUCCUGCCGCAGAUUAGAACUCUUGCAAUACAUAAAGAUGAUGAAUUUUUAUUGAUUGGUUUGUCUUAUCAGCAUGAAUCAAUUGUAAAAUAAAUGAUUUUUAAUUGGUUGGUUUUUUGAAAAUAAAUUUUUGUCCAGAUUCUUUUUCCUAGGCUGUGAAAAUUUUUGAGGAUCUAAUAAUUGUCUGUCUUUUUUUCGUACAGUCAGUCCCCUGAAAGGUCCAUCCAAAUCCUGCCGCAUAUUCGAACCCUUGUAAUGGUUAUCCAGUUAGUGGAUGGCUUAGAAAUUUUUCAGAUGACGUCGUUCACUCGCAGGCUUGCGCGCAGUACCAUCUGAGAAUAAAAUGCCGUCGGCUUGCCCGUAACCUCUCUCUCUCUCUCUGUCUUUGUCUGCUGGCCAAAUUUUUCCAUGCUAUAAGGACCCGCUGAGAGACGUCAUGAAGAUAACGCAUGAAAUUUUUCAAACGAUGACGACAAUAGUCUCCAAUGCUAUUGGGACACCUCCGGCUCAGAGGCAUUAUGGAAGACGACGCAUGGCACUUUUCCAACAAUGACAGGCAGUUUAGUCUCCAACCGCGUAGUGAUCCCCUUCUCGGCAAGAUAGCUCAUAUGUGAAAGCAGUAGAGUAUAGCGUACUGCUCGCGCCGUGAGCUUACAGAAUAACUUGACAUUUAUAUACAUAGAAAAGCCUCCUACGUACUUUAAUGUAACAUUAAAUUCCGUUGCACUUGCGUAGACGGGAAAGCAUACAAGUUGGAUGAUCAAGGAUGAUACUUGAGAUCUGGGCGCGGAAUGUAUUUGCAGAAAUUUUCUAUUAGGAAGAGCAUUUUUCAAUGGUUGGGUUAAAAAUUCUAUUAAAUUCAUAUGUUGGGCCAGUACAAUGAACAUGAUCAAAAAUAUCCAAAAAUAGUUUUGGAGCGAGUUGGCCUAAAUUUUAUAAGAAAAAAAAACUCAGUAGGUCUAGUCUGGCCUCUAAUUCUGUAAUUUUGCUGAUUGUAAUGAUCCAACCCAUAAAUUUAAUAGGAUUUUCAGUCUACUCAUUCAGACAGGUCCUUCCAUGUGGUGCCGACUUUUGAGGUACAUGCGAGGACACCAUGGUCAAGCUCUGUUCAUGGAAAACAUCAACGUGAGUUAAUUAGCAUCAGAUACCUGUGACUUAUGAAUGGGAGGAUGCUGAGCUGUGGAGAUGGAUGGGUCAUGAAUUAUUAACUUGCUAGUUAUUUACUAAGGCUCAUAAUGGAUCACUACAUGAUUUGUUCAAGAGCAAAUUUGCAUAUAUGACAUCAAGAGUAUCACGAGCUUUCCUUUCUUUUGCGAGAACACGGUGAUUAUUACUUAAGUUUGAGUUCGAAAUGUAUACAUGACCUAACAUGGUAUUUCGUACAAGUAUGUUACAUACGGCACUCAAUAUUUUUUCUAAAUUAUUUUACAGUUUACUAAAUAUACUAUGAAAUAUACUCGUUAUGAUAUUUUUUUUAAUAAUUUGAGACUUUUCAAUACCUCAAGCAGAAACACAAAUUUAAUUAUUCUAAAGCCCAAAGAAAGGUCUGCAGUCCUCAAUAGCUUACUCCCUGGGAGGCUUCCCCUGCUUUGGUUCUGUUCUAUAGAUAUUAACAAAAAUAAAAUAUAAAGAUAUAGAUUUUGUAUUUUAAAUAUAAAGUGUGGAAUAAGAGAAUAUUUCUUACCAAAUAUGUUACACACAGAAAUAGUUGCAGUAUAUGUAACAAGAAAUAGUGGUCAAAUUUUAAUAAGUUAGAAAGUGAAUUGAGCAUACAAAAAAUUUUAGACUCAUGAAUUAGGUAUAGGUAAAAAAAAAAAAAAUCAAGAUUCAGAUUUUAAGGUGUACCUCAAGAUUGUGUAUAGUGUUUUUUUCUUUUUGGGCUAAAAUCUCUUAUCAUAUAUAUAUAUAUAUAUAUAUAUAUAUAUAUAUAUAUAUAUAUAUAUAUAUAUAUAUANNNNNNNNNNNNNNNNNNNNNNNNNNNNNNNNNNUUAUGGAGGUUAUUAAUAUCUAAGAAUCAUGCUUAUCUAAGAGUUUGAUUUUAUUCAAAAUCAUUUAUUAUUGUUUUUAUGAUCGACAUUAUAUCAUAAAGAAUAAUUCAACUAGCAACAUUCCAAAAAUUGUUCCUAUGACAUUUCAAACUUUCACUUUUUCAUAUAUUUUAAACUUUUAAAAUAUUUACUUAUGCAAUUAUGGUAAAGAAAAUGUAUGUCAUAUCCAUUUCCUCAAAAAAGGUAUAAUGUAAAGUGUGAAGCCGACCCUCUGUAAAUGGCAUUUAAGUUACUACAUAAAAUAAAAGCACAAAAAGUUUUAUAUGAAUGAACUAAGAAAUAUUCAAUAAUUUGAGAAGUACAUUAUAUUAUAUAAAAAUCAUUCAAAUAAUAAAGCAAAGAUACCAUGCAUGGAAAUCUGAUUUAUGAAAACAAAUAAAGUUAGUAGUAAAGAAUAUAUAAUUAGAUACUAAAAAUAUCCGUAGUAUGUUGGGUCAAUUAUUUUAUGAUUUUCUAGAUUUUUUUGAAUUUUUAUAAGCAGCAUUUUUUCAUAAUUUUUUAUUUAUAAUAUCCACAAGAAAGUCCAAUCAGUUUUAACCACUGAAACAAAAACAGAGCGGGAAAGCUUAAAUGGAAUUUUUGUUGAUGAUUUAGUUAAACAAUUUUAGUUGAUCCAUUGAUAUAACAUAUUUGGAUAACUUUAAUAUAUUUAGAUAAUUUUUACAUAUUUAUAUGAUUUAUAAUCCAUCUUUUUUUUUGAAUUUAGCAUGUAAAAAAUUUGAAUUUUGUGCAUACAAAUUUGAAUUAUGUGGCUUAUUUGAAUUUGAUUUAAUAUGCUUCGUUUAUUUUUUUGUGCAUAUAUGCGAUUUUUUAUACAAAUUUUUCUUUGUAACAUACAUAACUUCACAAAAUGUCACGCUUUUUUUUUGUAGAAAAUUUCUUUUUUGACAUGACUUCCAAAAAUGUCUCUAUUUUUUUUGAAUUGCGGAGAGGGGUUGUGUUUUUUCUUUCUUUUCCAUUUAAUUGGUAUAGAGAUAACCUUAUAACGAGGCAUUAGAAUCCUCUGGGUAGGUUGUAGAAAAUUCUUAACUGCAACUAAGCCAUGUGUCAGAUUUAUAUUUGUCGUUUGAUCAACUAUAUCGAGUGCAUCUAGAAGAUCAAGUAAGUUGGUUUCGAAUGAAGAUAAACUUGGCUCUUCUUGACUUUAUCCUUAGGUUGGCAAUCGUCCACUCUAAGUUGAACAGGUUUGAAACCAUCCUAAUCCUUUCUUUUUUAUUUUUCUUUUUCUUUCUUUUUCUUUUUCUUUUCUUAGCAAAAGGGAAGAGUGGAGUGAGGAGAACCUCACCCGCAUAGCAACCCCCAUUGGGUCCUCUCCCUGCUCGAGAAUAUUUAAUACGGGUAGAACCUUUUUUACUCAUACCCUCCCCACCCGUGGUAGAGUCCCACCAGCAUGGCAGCCCUGCCCUCGUGUGAGUAGUGACACCAACACCACCUAAGUAAACGGUAGAUCAGAUAGCGACUCUACCGGACAAAUCAAGCAGGGAGCAUCCGGUCCUCAUAUUUAAUCGAUGUCCGCACAUUUCGAACUUGAGCCAUUCCGGUGGAAUCAAAAUGCCAUUCCCACAGUGCUACCAUCUCGGUGGUGCCUUCCUAAUCAUCUGGUGGACUAGAAGUGUUGUCCUGAUGAUCCUAAUAACUAGUGCAUGACUUUAAUUUUAUCAUAGUCUUGCAUACUUGCUUUGGAAGGUAAUGCAUGGGAGAUUUUUCAACAAUGACGACAUUUGAAUAAUCUCCGGCAACGUUUUGUUCCCGUCGCCUGCAUCCCAAGACUCCUUCAACAGAGUCACGAGAAAAUUGGGAGGGCAUGCGAGACUUAUCCCUGGAAGACGUUUCCACACUUGACCUGCUUUUUGCCCGAAAGAACUUAACGAAGUCAUCAUUAAAAAAGAUGACUACAUGGCAGGGGAAUAGAAAAACUCGUUCAUUCAUAAAUGCAGCAUUGCUAAAUUCAGUUGUACCUACCGACAAGCACAAGCUCGCGAACUAAGGUUUUUUUUUUUUUUUUUUUGUUCCUGAUGAUCCUAACCAGCAUGGUUAGCCACGUAAGUGGCCACCCAAUCUGCAGCUCCGUCAGCUUCUCUAAACACAUGCUUCACCUGGAUAUUCCUUUCGUCCCUCAUCAUCAUUCAGAUAUCGCGAAGCAAAGAAUGGUCACCAGCAGCGACCCUCAGACCUCUCUGGAUCUAGGUGAUGACCGUAGCCGAGUCACCCUUCAAGAUGACCGACCCAACUGAGAGCACACACUGAGCAUAUCGAAGGCCCGCCCAGGCUGCCCUUAGCUCUGCACCAGAAAUCGUGCAGUCAAAUAAUUGACAGCCUCCCACUGCCACGACCCUGAAGUUCGGAUCCCUAAUGAUGAAAUCCGCUCCACCAUUAGCGCCUCCAUCCAGCACCGACCCAUAAAAAUUGACCUUGAGGAAACUACGGGGUAGGGGCUUCCAGGUGAAAAACAUCAUACGAGGAGCUGCAGAGGCAGAAUGGGAACCCCAGAUAUCCCAAGCUGUCCAAGGUCCUUCUAAGGAGGAAGCAUGACUAAUCUUUGCCGCCUGCGCCGAGGCACUCUUUGCCACAAGCCUUGGCGACUUGCUGUGCUCACCAAAGGUUUGAGCAUUUCUUGCCAGCCAUACCUGGUAUGCUAUGCAAGUCGUCCUAACCGCCUCCUGGCGUGUCAGUGGGUUACCCGACCACCUACGAAUGGUCCAUAAGAACUGAUCCCCCUUAGACUAACUCUUCCGCAGCAGCACCGCUGCACUCCACGCCGCCCUAGCUCAUGUGCACUGAAACACUACGUGGUCCACCGACUCAUCGGCACCGCAUGCCCCACACUCAGGGGGUAGCCUCAGUCCCCGUCCGCUGAGUACUGCUCUCGUCGGAAGCCGAUCCCAGACGACAUUCCAUAAGAACAGUAUAACCCUCGAGUGGAGACCUAGGCGUCAGACCCAGGCACACUCCGGACCUAGCUCAUGAUCAGGCCGGAGCACUCGGAAGAGCUCUCCCACCCUAAUGCAGGUACUACACAACGUGCUCCACACCUGAGUAUCAGGACCACAUACCUCGGAAUCGGAAGAGACCGGACCCUCUCAGUUAGGUGUGUCCCAAAUAUUUGACCCAACCUAGCCUCAUCCAUAGCAGCCUUGCCAAGGUCAAGGAGGUCGCAAACCUGCAGUCCUCCACUACCUCAAUAUCAACCGUAGUCAACCAGAGUCUCCAAGGGAGGGCAACCACCCAUGGGUCGCCAACCACAUCGAUACUCCGCCCAUCACCUGUCAACCAUAUAGGAUUCUCCAUAACUGUUGGUAGAAAUCUUGCGAUCUCUCGCCACAUGAAUGGGCAACGAUUUGUACUGUGGAUCACCCCUACAUUACCCGUUCGGCCAUAUCUGGCAGCGAUGGUCUGACUCCAAAACCCCUGCAGCUCUAGCGUGAAUUGAGCUGCAUGUCGGGCAAACAACGGCUCGCGCCUCUCCAAAAGAGACAGCACACCAAGGCUUUCCUUACUCAACGGUAGGCAGAUACUCUCCCAUGCCACUAAAUGCACCCCAUGACCCCCUCCAUACAACCCCCAUAGGAAGCUUCGAAGUAGUCUCUCGAUCCUCAUCAGCACCAUUUUCGAAACCACCGUGUUUGCCAUUAGGUAGACAAGCAUGGAACCUAGCACUGAUCUAAUCAGCGUCAAUCUACCCAUCAUAGAAAGCGAAGACACCCUCCAGCACUCCAGUCUACUCUGAAUCUUCUGCACCAGACCGGUGCACUCGGCUACCCGCAGCCUCCUACCCGUAAUGGAUACUCCCAGGUAGCUCCAGGUCCCAUCCUAUACCAGCAUCUUCAGUAUUCCCCGAAUCUUCUGUCUGACCCUAUACUCCAUGCUAGAGCUGAAGGAGAUGGUUGACUUCUGGAGGUUUACCUUCUGCCCUGACACUGCGUAGUACUUCGCUAAUAUUCUUCUAAGCACUCGUGCAUCCGCUGCCCGCGCAUUGACUAGGAGAAGACAAUUAUCUGCGAACAAUAAGUAUGAUAUAGGUCAAGACCCUGGGUCUAACUGGGUCGGGUCACGAGUCGACCCAACCCAUUUGUAGCCUUAUUUCUACUUAAUAGGUACCUAAAAAUAGAGAUAGAUAUUGAAAUAUUUAAUCAAAAAAAAUGUAUAUAAAAAUAAUAGAAAUAAUGAAAGAAAAAUUCUAACUUAUUGCUAAUGUAUCUUCUUAAGUUUGAAGACUCCAAAUAAAAUUCUUACUAUUUGGACAGUUUUUUUUAAAAUUUUUUUUUCAUGCAGUCUUCAUAUUUUCCUUUUUUUUGUUUGGUUUUCUCUACAAAUUUCUUUCAAUUUUUACAAAAUUUUGGUGAAAGCACUAACCCACUCUCUUUUUUCCGUUUAAUAGGUACGGAGACAUAGAGAUUAUUAUUUUAUCUUAAUUAUUAAAUUAAUAGCUUUCUACAUACACAAAAUAAAAUAAAUUAACUUUUAAUGUUAUCGGGGUUGUUGGAAUCAGCAGUCCAAACACUUGGAACACGCAAUUAGGGAUGUUGACACGGAUGAUUUUUCAUUAGCUCAUAGCCACUGAUCGAAUCAUGUACCUGGGACUUCCACCAAAGGACACGGUCAAGAAAGACAAAAACGCCUCCUCCUCAGCCUACCCUCCCCCAUCGCCCUAUAAAUACUCUUACUGCCCAUCCCGCAACCCCACACAAUCCUCAACCAGAGAGCCAUCUUCCUGGGUAUCAAAAUGGCCUCCUCGACCUCCCUCACUCUCCUCUUCUUCCCCUUCCUCCUCCUCACCCUCUCCCACGCCGCCACCUUCAACGUCGUCAACCAAUGUUCCUACACCGUGUGGGCUGCAUGGGCAGCCACCGGCAACGUCGGCGGCGGCCAGCAGCUCGACCAAGGCCAGACCUGGACGGUCACCGUCAACGCCGGCACCACCGGUGGCCGCAUCUGGGCCCGUACUGGCUGCUCCUUCGAUGCCAACGGCAACGGGAACUGCCAGAGCGGCGACUGCGGCAAGCUCGCGCGCCUGCACCUCCUACGGCUCCGCACCCAACACCCUCGCGGAAUUCGCCCUAAACCAGUUCCAGAACCUCGACUUCAACGACAUCUCCCUCGUUCAGGGCUUCAACGUGCCCAUGGACUUCCGCUCCACCUCGUCGGACUGCAGCCAAGAUAUCCAAUGCACCGCCGACGUCGUUGGGCAGUGCCCCAGCGAGCUUAAAGUGCCCGGCGGCUGUGAUGACCCAUGCACCAUCUUCAACGCUCCUCAGUACUGCCCCCCUAACGGCUCCAGCUGCGAGCCAACCACCUAUUCCGAGUUCUUUAAGAGGCUGUGCCCGAAUGCGUUUAGCUACCCAGAUGAUUAUGUGAACACCAGCUUCACCUGCCCCGGUGGGAGCAACUACCAGGUUACCUUCUGCCCUUGAGGCUUUGAGAGCAUGGUGAUCCAUGCAUGACGCUGUUUCGAGUAUGUGAUAGCUUUG
This 12207-nucleotide long non-coding RNA is filed under the name Phoenix dactylifera (date palm). RNAcentral describes it as "long non-coding RNA (PDAC_LNC002336)". Lineage: Eukaryota; Viridiplantae; Streptophyta; Magnoliopsida; Arecales; Arecaceae. The record is from RNAcentral.